Molecule: ribosomal RNA, 252 nt
Filed under: uncultured bacterium
Lineage: Bacteria
Description: partial 16S ribosomal RNA
Rfam family: Bacterial small subunit ribosomal RNA
Source: RNAcentral
ACGUAGGGCGCAAGCGUUGUCCGGAAUUAUUGGGCGUAAAGAGCUCGUAGGCGGUCUGUCGCGUCGGAUGUGAAAGCCCGGGGCUUAACCCCGGGUCUGCAUUCGAUACGGGCAGACUAGAGUGUGGUAGGGGAGAUCGGAAUUCCUGGUGUAGCGGUGAAAUGCGCAGAUAUCAGGAGGAACACCGGUGGCGAAGGCGGAUCUCUGGGCCAUUACUGACGCUGAGGAGCGAAAGCGUGGGGAGCGAACAGG